ACAUAAAUGAGCGGUGGCUGCUUCGGGCCGAGCUGUACGUCCACGACUUCGCCGAUAAGGAUGAGAUGUGUGGCCACUUCCUUGACUUCGAUCAGGCGGCAGUCGAAGGCAGCGAUCGCCUCGACGAGGAUGGGCGCACCGGUCGUGCGCUGCGUCCACCGGCCCAAGGCAAAACGCCGUUCCAUGUCGAGCUGGUCGCGGCCCGAAAAGGCGUGAGCCAGGGCGUGAUGCUGGGCGCCAAGCAGGUUCAGCGCGAAGCUGCCGCCACGCGAAAAGAUGUCGUUGCGCCGGUUGGCUGCGUUGAGGCAAGCGAGCACGGUCGGCGGAUCGUCGGAUACCGAGCAGGACGCGGUGAUCGUCACGCCGCGCCGCUCCUUGCCAUCGGCCGCCGUGAUCAGCUGCACAUGCGACGACAUGCGGCUCAUCGCAUCACGGUAGG
RNAcentral lists this small RNA (439 nucleotides) under Sinorhizobium meliloti 2011. RNAcentral describes it as "putative ncRNA". Lineage: Bacteria; Pseudomonadati; Pseudomonadota; Alphaproteobacteria; Hyphomicrobiales; Rhizobiaceae. The record is from RNAcentral.